UUACCUAAAAUUUUCAGGACAUUUUCUUGAAUAACUAUUACCUAGCAAUGCCUUACCAAACGAACGUUUACUUUUGAGAAGUUUUUAUGGUAUUUUGAACAGGUUUGAGGUUUUUCAUUCAUGAGAAAUAUGUUGCAUAGUCGACCAAUUCAUUGUUUUGAGUUCAAGUAUGAAUUUAUAAGAAGAUCACGUGAUUGUGUGUAGC
Molecule: long non-coding RNA, 205 nt
Filed under: Actinidia chinensis (golden kiwifruit)
Lineage: Eukaryota; Viridiplantae; Streptophyta; Magnoliopsida; Ericales; Actinidiaceae
Description: long non-coding RNA (ACHI_LNC009353)
Source: RNAcentral